AACUUUCAACAACGGAUCUCUUGGCUCUGGCAUCGAUGAAGAACGCAGCGAAAUGCGAUACGUAGUGUGAAUUGCAGAAUUCAGUGAAUCAUCGAAUCUUUGAACGCACAUUGCGCCCGCUAGUAUUCUAGCGGGCAUGCCUGUUCGAGCGUC
RNAcentral lists this ribosomal RNA (153 nucleotides) under Entoleuca mammata. RNAcentral's name for it is "5.8S ribosomal RNA". It matches the Rfam family "5.8S ribosomal RNA". Rfam says of the family: 5.8S ribosomal RNA (5.8S rRNA) is a component of the large subunit of the eukaryotic ribosome. It is transcribed by RNA polymerase I as part of the 45S precursor that also contains 18S and 28S rRNA. Lineage: Eukaryota; Fungi; Ascomycota; Sordariomycetes; Xylariales; Xylariaceae. The record is from RNAcentral.